GAUUUUGUCCAAAUGUUUAGAUGUUUUUUCACGUAAAAGAAUACGCCAGUGUCAUACUUUAGGAUGCACGAGCUCUUUAUUGGAGUUUUCAGCCGUUUGUUCUUGAUAUAAAGUGUUAAGAGUUUCACAGUUUUAGGUCUGAAGGUGCUAGUGCUUGUGCUAAUUUAGGUUUACCAGACUCUUUUUAAGAGACACGGUAGAUGGUGUUCCGAAACGGCAAACGAUAUUAUUGUGAAGGAUUCUUUAGAUAAUUUCUAUCGCAUUAUUUUCAGACUUUUAUUGCAUGAUAUAGAUCACCUUUUAAAUUUUCCCGUUCUUUGUGUUUUCGGCCCUCGGCUC
RNAcentral lists this long non-coding RNA (339 nucleotides) under Mytilus galloprovincialis (Mediterranean mussel). Lineage: Eukaryota; Metazoa; Mollusca; Bivalvia; Mytilida; Mytilidae. The record is from RNAcentral.